UAAUAAUAUAAGGAACCAAAUUGGAUAUCAGCUUCCUAAAAAAGCACGAAACUUUAAGUCAUAAUUUAAGCCUGUUU
This 77-nucleotide small RNA is filed under the name Drosophila yakuba. RNAcentral's name for it is "GE27428". The record is from RNAcentral. Lineage: Eukaryota; Metazoa; Arthropoda; Insecta; Diptera; Drosophilidae.